RNAcentral lists this ribosomal RNA (497 nucleotides) under uncultured bacterium. Its description in RNAcentral is "partial 16S ribosomal RNA". It matches the Rfam family "Bacterial small subunit ribosomal RNA", at positions 28 to 507 of the family's 1533-position model. The record is from RNAcentral.
GAUGAACGCUGGCGGCGUGCCUAAUACAUGCAAGUCGAGCGAACAGGCGAGGCGUUUGCUGCGUUGACGUUAGCGGCGGAGGGGUGUAAAACACGUAUAUAACCUACCUAUCAGACUGGUAUAACUUCGGGAAACGGGCGCAUAUCCCGUAGGAUAUCUCGAACCACGUGGUUCGUUGGUGAGAGAUGGCGGUGCUGGCUCUAAUAGCGGGACCUGCGCCGUAUUAGCUAGUUGGUAAGUUCACGGCUUACCAAGGCAAGGAGACGUAGCCGAGCUGAGAGGGUGGUAGGCCACACUGGAACUGAGCCACGGUCCAUACUACUACGGGAGGCAGCAGUAGGCAAUGUUCCGCAAUGGGCGAGAGCAUGACGGAGUAACGCCGCGUGAGUGAUGAAGGUCUUCGGAGCGUAAAACUCUGUUAUUAGGGAAGAACAAACGUGGAAGGAACUGUGCAGGGAUUGACGGUACCUAAUCAGAAAGCCCCGGCUAACUACGUG